This 1223-nucleotide unclassified non-coding RNA is filed under the name Leishmania donovani. RNAcentral describes it as "gene:unknown". Lineage: Eukaryota; Euglenozoa; Kinetoplastea; Trypanosomatida; Trypanosomatidae. The record is from RNAcentral.
UGGCACCCUAACUCAGUGUCAGACCCAUCUUAGAAUAGAUGGAAAGACGAUAAGACGAUGAUGGAUGCACACGGGCCAGCGCACAUCGGCCGCGGCCGGUGUUUGUGAUGCCUUUGCGUCUUCUCCGCCUUCCACCACCGCCACCUUCUUCACCUCGCUUCACGCACGCGCUCUUCCGUCAUUGAUGCUGUGCUGUGCAGACGUACUGCACAUAUACACGUACAACGAUGUGUGUGUAUAUGGACAGUACGUGUGAGCGCGCGUGUCUGGGGCUUGUUGUGUGCGCUUCUGUGUGUUGGUUUCUUCGUGCCCACCCCCUCUUUUCUCAUCUCGCCACCUGCUCCCAUCUCCCCUUGCGAUCAAAAUAUCUCGCUCUCGCUCUGUAAGUGCGUGCGUGUGCGUGUGAGCUGUUACUUUUCAUGUCUUUGAUCACGCUGACUUCUUCGCACGCCAUUCUUCGCUUCUCCUGUUCGCCUCUCUCCUUCUCCUGAAUCGAAGCGCGUCGUGGUAUCACGCUCUCGCUCCUCACCAGCGUCAUGCUCUUCCACGUGUGCGAGUCGGCCGGUGUCGAGAGGCGGGUGGAUGAAAGAGGCCGUUGUGUGUUAGGUUUUAGGCUUUUCUUACCUGUUGCGUGGGUCUUCCAUUGCUGCCGCGGCUCGGGUUUGUGUCGAGCCCAAGGGCACCUAUGUAGGCACAGCGAAUGGCAUGGGGAGAUGGGAGGCGUUAGAUGAGGUGGACGGGUGGGCGGGUUUGAGAGGAGAAGGGGAGACAGGGUAGCGACAACGGAGAAGUCAAGAGGAGCUCUCGUGUAGGCAUGAGAGCUGCAGGGGCCAACACAUGGGGCACCGCCGUCUCUGCUUGUUCCUCCUCUGCUCAUAUCACUCUUUCGAAAGCAGCAAGGAAGGAAUCAAAACACGAUAUUCGACGAAGCAAAAGGACGCCGAAGCCGUCUGCAGUGAUGCCACGUCUCUCCUCCGGUCGUUCUUUCGCCUUUUCUCUGUCGGUUUGUGUGCGUCCCUCGCGCCGUGCUUCAAGGCGCGAAACGCAGGAGCGCCAACUGAUGCACACAUACCACAGACGGAUGGCGACGAAGAAACAAAAAGUGAACCCUCAUACUAAGAUAGGCAAGCAGGCGCGCACACACCCACGCACACGCACACACACACACACACACACACAUGCACACCACUGCGCCCACGUAAGUUUAUCGUUGAAAGCGAAAG